GCGCGAAAAACUUUACAAUGCGGGAAACCGUGAUAAGGGGACACCGAGUGCCAGCAUCAUAUGCUGGCUGUCCAGAUGUGUAAAAUACAUCUGUUAGCAAGGGCCGGGCAAGACCGGUGCCAGCCGCCGCGGUAACACCGGCGGCCCGAGUGGUGAUCGUGAUUAUUGGGUCUAAAGGGUCCGUAGCCGGUUUGGUCAGUCCUCCGGGAAAUCUGAUAGCUCAACUAUUAGGCUUUCGGGGGAUACUGCCAGACUUGGAACCGGGAGAGGUAAGAGGUACUACAGGGGUAGGAGUGAAAUCUUGUAAUCCCUGUGGGACCACCUGUGGCGAAGGCGUCUUACCAGAACGGGUUCGACGGUGAGGGACGAAAGCUGGGGGCACGAACCGGAUUAGAUACCCGGGUAGUCCCAGCCGUAAACGAUGCUCGCUAGGUGUCAGACAUGGCGCGACCGUGUCUGGUGCCGCAGGGAAGCCGUGAAGCGAGCCACCUGGGAAGUACGGCCGCAAGGCUAGAAACUUAAGGAAUUGGCGGGGAGCA
Molecule: ribosomal RNA, 539 nt
Filed under: uncultured Methanosarcina sp.
Lineage: Archaea; Methanobacteriati; Methanobacteriota; Methanomicrobia; Methanosarcinales; Methanosarcinaceae
Description: bacterial SSU rRNA
Rfam family: Archaeal small subunit ribosomal RNA
Source: RNAcentral